RNAcentral lists this ribosomal RNA (217 nucleotides) under uncultured Staphylococcus sp. Its description in RNAcentral is "partial 16S ribosomal RNA". It matches the Rfam family "Bacterial small subunit ribosomal RNA", at positions 122 to 334 of the family's 1533-position model. Lineage: Bacteria; Bacillati; Bacillota; Bacilli; Caryophanales; Staphylococcaceae. The record is from RNAcentral.
UAACCUACCUAUAAGACUGGGAUAACUCGGGAAACCGGAGCUAAUACCGGAUAAUAUAUUGAACCGCAUGGUUCAAUAGUGAAAGACGGUUUUGCUGUCACUUAUAGAUGGAUCCGCGCCGCAUUAGCUAGUUGGUAAGGUAACGGCUUACCAAGGCAACGAUGCGUAGCCGACCUGAGAGGGUGAUCGGCCACACUGGAACUGAGACACGGUCCAG